This is a small RNA of Clostridium sp. CAG:448, 82 nucleotides long. It matches the Rfam family "dinG RNA". The record is from Rfam. NCBI's taxonomy places the organism in Bacteria, Bacillati, Bacillota, Clostridia, Eubacteriales, Clostridiaceae.
AAUGAUACUCCCGCAUUCGGUGCGGUCUGCCGGCAGGCAGAAGAUGCGAUUUCGGGUUGAAUGGAUACCCGCGAAUGCAUUU